CGCGAAACCUUUACACUGCACGAGAGUGCGAUAAGGGGACUCCCAGUGCGAGGGCAUACAGUCCUCGCUUUUCUGGACCGUAGGGAGGUCCAGGAACAAGUGCUGGGCAAGACCGGUGCCAGCCGCCGCGGWAAWACCGGCAGCACGAGUGAUGGCCGAUAUUAUUGGGCCUAAAGCGUCCGUAGCCAGCCAGACAAGUCCGUUGGGAAAUCCACGUGCUCAACACGUGGGCGUCCAGCGGAAACUGUCUGGCUUGGGGCCGGAAGACCCAAGGGGUACGUCCGGGGUAGGAGUGAAAUCCCGUAAUCCUGGACGGACCGCCGAUGGCGAAAGCACCUUGGGAGGACGGACCCGACGGUGAGGGACGAAAGCCAGGGUCUCGAACCGGAUUAGAUACCCGGGUAGUCCUGGCCGUAAACGAUGUCCGCUAGGUGUGGCGCAGGCUACGAGCCUGCGCUGUGCCGUAGGGAAGCCGUGAAGCGGACCGCCUGGGAAGUACGUCUGCAAAGAUGAAACUUAAAGGAAUUGGCGGGGGAGCACUACAACCGGAGGAGCCUGCGGUUUAAUUGGAAUCA
Molecule: ribosomal RNA, 575 nt
Filed under: uncultured haloarchaeon
Lineage: Archaea; Methanobacteriati; Methanobacteriota; Halobacteria; Halobacteriales; Halobacteriaceae
Description: bacterial SSU rRNA
Rfam family: Archaeal small subunit ribosomal RNA
Source: RNAcentral